AUGCCAGCCACCACCACGGCCCCGAAAGUCUACCCUCUGGAUCCCAGGUGUGGGGGCACAACCGGCUCCACAGUGACCGUGGGCUGCCUGGUCUCGAGCUACUUCCCUGAGCCAGUGACCGUGACCUGGAACUCGGGCGCCCCUUCCAGCGGCGUGUACACCUUCCCAUCCGUCCAAGGGUCCUCGGGGCUGUACUCUCUCAGCAGCACUGUGACCGUGCCUGCCAGCACCUCAUCCGGCAAGAGCUUCACCUGCAGCAUAGACCACCGGGCCAGCAGCACCAAGGUGGACAAGCGCAUCGAACUGCUCCUAGAGGAGGAGACCUGUGCUGACGCCCAGGACGGGGAGCUGGACGGACUGUGGACGACCAUCUCCAUCUUCAUCACCCUCUUCCUGCUCAGCGUGUGCUACAGCGCCACCGUGACACUCUUCAAGGUGGGCGGGCCGCCCCGCUCCUCCCCCACGGCCCCGAAAGUCUACGCUCUGCCCCCCAGCUGCGGGGACACACCUAGUUCCACAGUGGUCGUGGGCUGCCUGGUCUCAAGCUACUUCCCUGAGCCAGUGAUCGUGAACUGGAAACCGGGCACCCAUUCCAGAGGCGUGCACACCUUCGCAUCCGUCCACGGCUCCUCGGGGCUGUACUCUCUCAGCAGCACUGUGACCGUGCCUGCCAGCACCUCAUCCGGCAAGAGCUUCACCUGCAGCAUAGACCACCGGGCCAGCAGCACCAAGGUGGACAAGCGCAUCGUGAUCAAUGGCUCCCCAUGCCCCAAGUGUACUGAAUGCCAAAAGUGUCCCGAAUGCCAAAAGUGUCCCAAAUGUCCAGCCCCUGAGCUCCCAGGAGGACCGUCCGUCUUCAUCUUCCCCCCGAAACCCAGAGACACCCUCACAAUAUCCAAAACACCCGAGGUCACCUGCGUUGUGGUGGACGUGAGCCACGAGGACCCCAAUGUCCAGUUCUCCUGGUACGUGGACGCCUCCCCCACGGCCCCGAAAGUCUACGCUCUGCCCCCCAGCUGCGGGGACACACCUAGUUCCACAGUGGUCGUGGGCUGCCUGGUCUCAAGCUACUUCCCUGAGCCAGUGAUCGUGAACUGGAAACCGGGCACCCAUUCCAGAGGCGUGCACACCUUCGCAUCCGUCCACGGCUCCUCGGGGCUGUACUCUCUCAGCAGCACUGUGACCGUGCCUGCCAGCACCUCAUCCGGCAAGAGCUUCACCUGCAGCAUAGACCACCGGGCCAGCAGCACCAAGGUGGACAAGCGCAUCGGUGAGAGGACGGGCCGCAGGGAGGGUGUCCACUACGAGACAGGCCCGGGGUCAGCCCUCCCACCUGAACGGACCGCACACCAGGGAUGGUCCGAAAUCAACGGCCCAAACCCCUGUACCAGGUGUCCCAUAUGCCCAGCCAUUGAGCUCCCAGGAGGACCGUCCGUCUUCAUCUUCCCCCCGAAACCCAAGGACACCCUCACAAUAUCCCGAACACCGGAAGUCUCCUGCAUGGUGGUGGACGUGAGCAAGGAGGACCCCAAUGUCCAGUUCUCCUGGUACGUGGACGGUGUAGAGGUGCACACAGCCAAGACAAAGCCAAAGGAGGAGCAGUUCAACAGCACCUACCGUGUGGUCAGCGCCCUGCCCAUCCAGCACCAGGACUGGCUGACGGGAAAGGAGUUCAAGUGCAAGGUCAACAACAAAGGCCUCCCAGCCCCCAUUGUGAGAACCAUCUCCAAGGACAAAGGGCAGACCCACGAGCCGCAGGUGUACGUACUGGCCCCACCGCGGGAAGAGCUGGCCAAGAGCUCGGUCAGCUUAACCUGCAUGGUCACCGACUUCUACCCGAGCGACAUCGAUGUGGAGUGGCAGAGAAACGGGCAGCCAGAGUCAGCGGACAAAUACAAUACGACGCCACCCCAGCAGGAAAACGGGUCCUUCUUCCUGUACAGCAAGCUCAGGGUGGACAAGAAGAGCUGGCUGCCCCUCACUGUGAAGUGGAUCUUCUCGUCGGUGGUUGAGCUGAAGCGCACGAUCGUCCCCGACUACAGAAACAUGAUCGGGCAGGGCGCCUAG
This is a non-coding RNA of Physeter macrocephalus (sperm whale), 2067 nucleotides long. NCBI's taxonomy places the organism in Eukaryota, Metazoa, Chordata, Mammalia, Artiodactyla, Physeteridae. The record is from the annotation of a RefSeq genome assembly.